Molecule: ribosomal RNA, 1029 nt
Filed under: Ischnocnema abdita
Lineage: Eukaryota; Metazoa; Chordata; Amphibia; Anura; Brachycephalidae
Description: partial 16S ribosomal RNA
Rfam family: Bacterial large subunit ribosomal RNA
Source: RNAcentral
ACUUGAGAAAAGAAUCUAAGUCCAACCUAAAGCGAUCUAAAAACUAAAUUACACGCUUUAGAGCAAUUCAAACAAGGUACAGCCUGUUUGAAAUAGGAAACAACCUUUAACAGCGGGUAACUCAUUACACCUCAACCAAGUGGGCCUAAAAGCAGCCACCUUAAAAAGAGCGUCAAAGCCUAAUUUUCCCUUUAUUUUCCCCCAUACCCCAACCUAAACGAAACCCCUCACCAAUAUCAAGUUCUUCUAUAUUACCUAUAGAAACUUUUAUGUUAAAACUAGUAACAAGAAGCUACUUCUCUCCAUGCAAGUGUAAAUCAGAAUGGACCUCCCCACUGAUACUUAUACAGUUAACUAACUGCCCCCCUCCAGAAAACCCUAUUUUCUCCACCGUUAACCUAACACAAGAGCAUCCCAAGAAAGAUUAAACGAAAAAGAAGGAACUCGGCAAACAUUAUCCCGCCUGUUUACCAAAAACAUCGCCUCUUGAGUUAAAUAAGAGGUCUAGCCUGCCCAGUGACAUCAGUUCAACGGCCGCGGUAUCCUGACCGUGCAAAGGUAGCGCAAUCACUUGUUUUUUAAAUAAAGACUAGUAUGAAAGGCAUCACGAGGAUCAACCUGUCUCCUUUUUCUGAUCUGUGAAACUAAUCUUCCCGUGAAGAAGCGGGAAUUCCCCUAUAAGACGAGAAGACCCUAUGGAGCUUUAGACAACGCAGUAACUGCUUCAUUUUCGCACUUUAACCGCGCAGUCUUAGGUUGGGGUGACCGCGGAGUAAAAUCCACCCUCCACGCUGAAUUAGGCCCUCCCUAACAAAGAGCAACAACUCUACGUAUCAACAAUUUGACAGCAAUUGACCCAAUCACUUGAUCAACGAAACAAGUUACCCUAGGGAUAACAGCGCAAUCCACUUCGAGAGCUCGUAUCAACAAGUGGGUUUACGACCUCGAUGUUGGAUCAGGGUAUCCCAGUGGUGCAGCCGCUACUAAAGGCUCGUUUGUUCAACGAUUAAAACCCUACGUGAUCUGAGU